This 1354-nucleotide ribosomal RNA is filed under the name uncultured bacterium. RNAcentral's name for it is "bacterial SSU rRNA". It matches the Rfam family "Bacterial small subunit ribosomal RNA", at positions 58 to 1399 of the family's 1533-position model. The record is from RNAcentral.
CAAGUCGUGCGGUAACGGGGAGGGGCUUGCCUCUCUGCCGACGAGCGGCGGACGGGUGAGUGAUAUCUGGGGAUCUGCCUGAUGGAGGGGGAUAACCACUGGAAACGGUGGCUAAUACCGCAUAAUGUCUCAGGACCAAAGCGCGGGACCUUCGGGCCGCGUGCCAUCAGAUGAACCCAGACGGGAUUAGCUGGCUGGUGAGGUAAAGGCUCACCCGGGCGACGAUCCCCAGCUGGUCUGAGAGGAUGACCAGCCACACUGGAACUGAGACACGGUCCAGACUCCUGCGGGAGGCAGCAGUGGGGAAUAUUGCACAAUGGGCGCAAGCCUGAUGCAGCCAUGCCGCGUGUAUGAAGAAGGCCUUCGGGUUGUAAAGUACUUUCAGUCAGGAGGAAGGUGGUGGAGCUAAUAAUUCCAUCAGGUGACGUUACUGACAGAAGAGGCACCGGCUGACUCCGUGCCAGCAGCCGCGGUAAUACGGAGGGUGCAGGCGUUAAUCGGAAUUACUGGGCGUAAAGGGCACGCAGGCGGCUGAUUAAGUCAGAUGUGAAAGCCCCGGGCUUAACCCGGGAACAGCAUUUGAAACUGGUCGGCUGGAGUCUCGCAGAGGGAGGCAGAAUUCCAGGUGUAGCGGGUGAAAUGCGCAGAGAUCUGGAGGAAUACCGGUGGCGAAGGCGGCCUCCUGGACGAAGACUGACGCUGAGGUGCGAAAGCGUGGGGAGCAAACAGGAUUAGAUACCCCUGGUAGUCCACGCUGUAAACGAUGUCGAUUUGGAGGCUGUGCCCCUUGAGGUGUGGCUUCCGCAGCUAACGCGUUAAAUCGACCGCCUGGGGAGUACGGCCGCAAGGUUAAAACUCAAAUGAAUUGACGGGGGCCCGCACAAGCGGUGGAGCAUGCGGUUUAAUUCGAUGCAACGCGAAGAACCUUACCUGGUCUUGACAUCCACGGAAUGCUGCAGAGAUGCGGCGGUGCCUUCGGGAGCCGUGAGACAGGUGCUGCAUGGCUGUCGUCAGCUCGUGUUGUGAAAUGUUGGGUUAAGUCCCGCAACGAGCGCAACCCCUGUCCUUUGUUGCCAGCGGUACGGCCGGGAACUCAGAGGAGACUGCCAGUGAUAAACUGGAGGAAGGCGGGGAUGACGUCAAGUCAUCAUGGCCCUCACGACCAGGGCUACACACGUACUACAAUGGCGCAUACAAAGGGAAGCGACCUCGCGAGAGCAGGCGGAACUCAUAAAGUGCGUCACAGUCCGGACUGGAGUCUGCAACCCGACUCCACGAAGCCGGAAUCGCUAGUAAUCGUGGAUCAGAAUGCCACGGUGAAUACGUUCCCGGGCAUUGUACACACCGCCCGUAU